AUGUUAAAGUUUAUUUCAUUAAUUUUUGGAUUAUUAAUUAUAUCUUUUUUAAAUGAGUUUAUAACCUUUAUUUCUUACUUGGUAUUUCUAGGUUUAGGGUGAUUAUUUAUAUAUAACUCUAAUUUAGUCAGCAUAUCAUAUUUUAGCUGUGAUUCUCUAAGAUGGUUCAUAGUAAUUUUGACAUUUUGGAUUAUUGUUUUAAUAUUAUUAUCAAGCCACUCUUAUAAAGUGACAAACUUCUUUUAUCAAAAAUUUACUUUCGUUUUAAUACUAAUAUUACUUUUAUUAUUUUUUACUUUUACUUGUUCAGAUUUAUUAUCUUUCUACAUUUUCUUUGAAGGCUCACUAAUUCCCAUUUAUUUAUUAAUUGUAGGUUGAGGAUACCAACCUGAACGUUUACAAGCUGGGAUUUAUCUUUUGCUUUAUACCAUCUUUGCUUCUUUGCCUUUAUUGAUCUCUAUUUUCUUUGUUGGAGACUAUGUUGGAGGAUUCAGUAUAUCUUUGUUAAGCUUCGGGUGCGACGAAUCUAUGUGAGUUAGUUUUUGGUUUAUAUUUUCUAUUUUCGCUUUUUUAGUUAAAUUACCUGCUUUCUAUGUACAUUUAUGAUUACCAAAAGCUCAUGUAGAAGCUCCAGUUUCUGGAUCCAUAAUAUUAGCAGGUGUAUUGCUAAAAUUAGGAUGUUAUGGUUUAAUACGAUUUAUGAUAUUCUUUCAAGGUAAAGUGGCUUUUUUAAGUAGAGUAUUAGUUUCCCUAGGGUUAAUGGGAGGUCUAGCUGUUAGAUUUAUUUGUUUACGUCAAGUAGAUUUAAAAGCUUUAAUCGCUUAUUCUUCUGUCAGACAUAUGGGUCUGGCAUUAGGUGGAUUAGGAAGAUGAGGAUUAUGAGGAUAUAGUUCUUGUUUAUAUACAUGUGUGGCUCAUGGGCUAUGUUCAUCUGGCUUGUUCUUUUUAUCUGGAGUAAUCUAUGAACGAGAGUCUCGUAGAUGAUAUUAUAAAGGAUAUUUAGAAAUUAUGCCGAGCAUAGCUUUUGAUGAUUUAUUUUAUUGUAUUGGAAAUAUUGGAAGGUUAUGGUUUAUACGAUUUAUGAUAUUCUUUCAAGGUAAAGUGGCUUUUUUAAGUAGAGUAUUAGUUUCCCUAGGGUUAAUGGGAGGUCUAGCUGUUAGAUUUAUUUGUUUACGUCAAGUAGAUUUAAAAGCUUUAAUCGCUUAUUCUUCUGUCAGACAUAUGGGUCUGGCAUUAGGUGGAUUAGGAAGAUGAGGAUUAUGAGGAUAUAGUUCUUGUUUAUAUACAUGUGUGGCUCAUGGGCUAUGUUCAUCUGGCUUGUUCUUUUUAUCUGGAGUAAUCU
RNAcentral lists this unclassified non-coding RNA (1342 nucleotides) under Amphibalanus amphitrite. Its description in RNAcentral is "nADH-ubiquinone oxidoreductase chain 4". The record is from RNAcentral. Lineage: Eukaryota; Metazoa; Arthropoda; Thecostraca; Balanomorpha; Balanidae.